This 516-nucleotide ribosomal RNA is filed under the name Salmonella enterica subsp. enterica serovar Enteritidis. Its description in RNAcentral is "partial 23S ribosomal RNA". It matches the Rfam family "Bacterial large subunit ribosomal RNA", at positions 161 to 719 of the family's 2925-position model. Lineage: Bacteria; Pseudomonadati; Pseudomonadota; Gammaproteobacteria; Enterobacterales; Enterobacteriaceae. The record is from RNAcentral.
AAUCCAUAGGUUAAUGAGGCGAACCGGGGGAACUGAAACAUCUAAGUACCCCGAGGAAAAGAAAUCAACCGAGAUUCCCCCAGUAGCGGCGAGCGAACGGGGAGGAGCCCAGAGCCUGAAUCAGCAUGUGUGUUAGUGGAAGCGUCUGGAAAGGCGCGCGAUACAGGGUGACAGCCCCGUACACAAAAGCGCAUGUGCUGUGAGCUCGAUGAGUAGGGCGGGACACGUGGUAUCCUGUCUGAAUAUGGGGGGACCAUCCUCCAAGGCUAAAUACUCCUGACUGACCGAUAGUGAACCAGUACCGUGAGGGAAAGGCGAAAAGAACCCCGGCGAGGGGAGUGAAAAAGAACCUGAAACCGUGUACGUACAAGCAGUGGGAGCACCCUUUGGGUGUGACUGCGUACCUUUUGUAUAAUGGGUCAGCGACUUAUAUUCUGUAGCAAGGUUAACCGAAUAGGGGAGCCGGAGGGAAACCGAGUCUUAAUUGGGCGUUAAGUUGCAGGGUAUAGACCCGAA